Molecule: ribosomal RNA, 330 nt
Filed under: uncultured bacterium
Lineage: Bacteria
Description: bacterial SSU rRNA
Rfam family: Bacterial small subunit ribosomal RNA
Source: RNAcentral
UUCGUAGGCGGUGCGGCAAGUCGGAAGUGAAAUCCCUGGGCUUAACUCAGGGGCUGCUCCCGAAACUGCCGUGCUCGAGUGCGGGAGAGGCGAGUGGAAUUGCAGGUGUAGCGGUGAAACGCGUAGAUAUCUGCAGGAACACCCGUGGCGAAGGCGGCUCGCUGGACCGCAACUGACGCUGAGGAACGAAAGCUAGGGGAGCAAACAGGAUUAGAUACCCUGGUAGUCCUAGCCCUAAACCAUCAGGACUUGGGGUGCAUCCCGUUCGGGGUGCGUCCCGGAGCUAACGCGUUAAGUCCUGCGCCUGGGGAGUACGGUCGCAAGGCUGAA